Molecule: ribosomal RNA, 253 nt
Filed under: uncultured bacterium
Lineage: Bacteria
Description: partial 16S ribosomal RNA
Rfam family: Bacterial small subunit ribosomal RNA
Source: RNAcentral
UACGUAGGGUGCAAGCGUUAAUCGGAAUUACUGGGCGUAAAGCGUGCGCAGGCGGCUUUGCAAGACAGAUGUGAAAUCCCCGGGCUUAACCUGGGAACUGCAUUUGUGACUGCAUGGCUGGAGUGUGGCAGAGGGGGAUGGAAUUCCGCGUGUAGCAGUGAAAUGCGUAGAUAUGCGGAGGAACACCGAUGGCGAAGGCAAUCCCCUGGGCCUGCACUGACGCUCAUGCACGAAAGCGUGGGGAGCAAGCAGG